GACAUUCCAUCAAUCACAACCACAACAUAAACUAACUGAACAACAGUGAACACGAAUCAGGUAACGCCAUUUCUUGAAUUUAUUUCCAAAUAAAUAAUUAGGAUAAUACAAUUUAUUUUUUAUUUAAUUUAAUAAAAGAAGAAAAAACUAUGAUAAACACUAUUUUACCCCACCAGUUCUCCUGACUUUCUUCAAGCUUUCUUCCCAUGUGUUGAUUCUUUUUUUUACAACAUUGAGAUGAUGGAUCACAUUUGGACAUGAAAACUGCUUCAUUCAGCUCCCCAUUAAAACCCAGAGCAAGUAAUUCGGGAUAAACCGGCAUGUUAAUCUUCCUUACAAC
This 340-nucleotide long non-coding RNA is filed under the name Trifolium pratense (red clover). RNAcentral describes it as "long non-coding RNA (TPRA_LNC001354)". Lineage: Eukaryota; Viridiplantae; Streptophyta; Magnoliopsida; Fabales; Fabaceae. The record is from RNAcentral.